UACAGAGGUGGCAAGCGUUGUUCGGAAUUACUGGGCGUAAAGGGCGCGUAGGCGGUUCGAUAAGUCCCGUGUGAAAGCCCCCGGCUCAACUGGGGAACUGCACGGGAAACUGACGGACUUGAGUUCGGGAGAGGGAAGCGGAAUUCCGGGUGUAGCGGUGAAAUGCGUAGAUAUCCGGAGGAACACCGGUGGCGAAGGCGGGUCUCUGGGCAACAACUGACGCUGAGGAGCGAAAGCGUGGGGAGCGAACAGG
RNAcentral lists this ribosomal RNA (253 nucleotides) under uncultured bacterium. RNAcentral describes it as "partial 16S ribosomal RNA". It matches the Rfam family "Bacterial small subunit ribosomal RNA", at positions 524 to 776 of the family's 1533-position model. The record is from RNAcentral.